GGUAUUUUGACCGUGCAAAGGUAGCAUAAUCAUUAGUUUUUUAAUUGAAAGCUGGAAUGAAAGGUUGGAUGAGAAAUAAGCUGUCUCUAUUUAAUUUUAUUAGAAUUUUAUUUUUAAGUAAAAAAGCUUAAAUUUUAAUAGAAGACGAGAAGACCCUAUAGAGUUUUAUUUAUUUUUUAAAUAAAAUUAAUAGUAUUAAUUAUUUUUGUUUAAAUGAUAAAUUUAGUUGGGGUGAUUGAAAAAUUUAAUAAACUUUUUUUAUAUAAAUACAUUGAUAUAUGAUUAAUUGAUCCUUAAUUUAAGAUUAAAAGAUAAAAUUACCUUAGGGAUAACAGCGUAAUUUUUUUUGAGAGUUCUAAUCGAAAAAAAAGAUUGCGACCUCGAUGUUGGAUUAAAAUAAAAUUUUGGUGUAGAAGCUAGAA
RNAcentral lists this ribosomal RNA (422 nucleotides) under Laparocerus cephalotes. Its description in RNAcentral is "partial 16S ribosomal RNA". The record is from RNAcentral. Lineage: Eukaryota; Metazoa; Arthropoda; Insecta; Coleoptera; Curculionidae.